RNAcentral lists this ribosomal RNA (497 nucleotides) under uncultured bacterium. RNAcentral's name for it is "partial 16S ribosomal RNA". It matches the Rfam family "Bacterial small subunit ribosomal RNA", at positions 28 to 507 of the family's 1533-position model. The record is from RNAcentral.
GAUGAACGCUGGCGGCGUGCCUAAUACAUGCAAGUCGAGCGAACAGACGAGGAGCUUGCUCCUCUGACGUUAGCGGCGGACGGGUGAGUAACACGUGGAUAACCUACCUAUAAGACUGGGAUAACUUCGGGAAACCGGAGCUAAUACCGGAUAAUAUAUUGAACCGCAUGGUUCAAUAGUGAAGGACGGUUUUGCUGUCACUUAUAGAUGGAUCCGCGCCGCAUUAGCUAGUUGGUAAGGUAACGGCUUACCAAGGCAACGAUGCGUAGCCGACCUGAGAGGGUGAGCGGCCACACUGGAACUGAGACACGGUCCAGACUCCUACGGGAGGCAGCAGUAGGGAAUCUUCCGCAAUGGGCGAAAGCCUGACGGAGCAACGCCGCGUGAGUGAUGAAGGUCUUCGGAUCGUAAAACUCUGUUAUUAGGGAAGAACAAAUGUGUAAGUAACUAUGCACGUCUUGACGGUACCUAAUCAGAAAGCCACGGCUAACUACGUG